RNAcentral lists this long non-coding RNA (361 nucleotides) under Phasianus colchicus (ring-necked pheasant). RNAcentral's name for it is "lncRNA (ENSPCLG00000004952.1)". Lineage: Eukaryota; Metazoa; Chordata; Aves; Galliformes; Phasianidae. The record is from RNAcentral.
UUAAAAUAUCAUUUCAGGUAACGUCAAAGGCAAAGAAGGUGCUCUGGCAUAUGUAAAAUGAAAAAAAAAAGGGUAUUCCUGAAAGAAGAAUGCACAUCAGUCAAAGGCAUCAAUAAAUAAAGCUCUUUUUCAUAUGUAAAUGGGAAUUUAUAAAGUAAAGAAGGGGCAUCUUCUCUGCAUGAAAUUAGUGAGCCAGAGUCAAGGGCAGAAAAAAAACAGAGACAGACAGACUUCCUCAACUUAUACACCCCACAGGGACCAGCUGACGUUGAAAAAGCAGAGAAAUGCAAGAUUAUGUGAUUUUUUUGAGGUUUCAGUAAACAGAAUAAGAGAGAGAUCUUACCAAGAAGUUGUAAGGUAG